Long non-coding RNA from Brienomyrus brachyistius, 1377 nucleotides. RefSeq lists it as uncharacterized. The record is from RefSeq and is a predicted model, not a curated record. The transcript has 6 exons. NCBI's taxonomy places the organism in Eukaryota, Metazoa, Chordata, Actinopteri, Osteoglossiformes, Mormyridae.
UUUUUUUUUUCAGGACCCCAGGAAGAAUAGCUGCAGCAUGGCUGUAGCUAAUGGGGAUCCUUUGAAUAAAACUCAAACUCAAACUCAAACUAACAUUUGGAACUUCCUCCACUGGAAAUAAUGUAGAGGAGCACUAGUCCCCUCUGGUGGUGACAUGUGACAUCACACCUAAUGAGGGACCUUUCCAGUCCCUGAGAAAGUAACCAAUAUGUGUAAGAUCGCAGUGUCAAAUCUGUAAUGAAUUCUAAGAUGUGCGAUGCUUUUUAUUUCUUUCAUACUUUCCGUCCUGCGUCGGCACCUCUUCAAGGAUCCCCAAGUGGCAGAUUCCCCUCUGCCUGGCGGACAGGGGUGAUGCGGGGGAGGGAGAGCACCAGCGGCUGGUCUGCUUUGGCUAAGUGCUAAGCUGCCAUGAAUCUUCUGGAUCAGGCUUCUCCAACUGUUACAACCAGCAUCAAAGAUAUAGGGGGGCGAGGGUUUGAGGCACGUAUCUUUCUCUCUUUCAGGCGACCAAACCUGGGACAGACCUGCUACAUGAACAUCACCUUGCAGUGUCUCUUCCACCUGCCAACAUUCUGCGAGGACGUCAGGAGGCAGGAACAACACUGGGGUUUGGUCCCCUAUGCCAACCUGAUCAGAUAUUUUGCUGAUCUUCUACCUGCAACACAUAGUUCACUCGCAAAGCAGAAGACGACUUUGUUGAGAACCUAAUUCAUACGGUUUCGAAGCGGUUUCCUGAAGAUCAGCAGAAUUCGGCAAGCAUUUUCUGUUUAUCUCCUGUCAUCUGGGACACCCAUGAGUUCUUCAGCUGCCUGAUAUCUCAGCUAAAUGAGCUGGGGAAGCUAAUUCAGGCCUGGGAGACAACAGCCACGUACGCCUGUCCUGUGGAAGGAAACCUAUCGUUCGAGAUGCUGUGCCAGAGGACGUGUACCAGGUCACUACAUCAGUGACACCAUUAGCGUGGCAGAGAAGGGCUGGCUGUAUUUUAGCGAGCACGUAGUGACCAGAUCAGAAGAGGAGCAGGUGCUGAGAAAGAGGCAGAGCAGCGCGUACAUGCUGUUCUACACCCAGCAGGAGGACUUACACUGAAGACAGCUGAUGCCUCCAUAUUGGGGAUUAAUACUUGAAAAGUAGGUCCCUGUGUUAGGCGGCUGCAUGUACUUCCACGCUCGCUAAUGUUCUGUGGCGGCAAAACCAGGAAAAACAGUAACCGGCUCUGCUUAGGAGAGCAGAGCGAUGGGACAAACUUACAGAGUAAAAGCUGAAAAUAAAACAAACCAAUACACAACCAUGUAUAUCAGAUAUAAAUCUAAAUAUUAAAGUAUAGACAAAGUACAUUUUACCGUCUACGUACAGUGCUAAUUGCUGGCUGAAGCGCUA